ACUCUCCAAGACACCAUAAAACCUGUACAUAGUGGGUACUGUUUUACUCGGAAGACUUCGCUGAACUCAUAUAUUUGUUUUUUCAACUGGUAAAUUGUAUCACAACGAUGAUAUUUUAAGUAAAAUUUACGUUUUUUGCAUUUUUUACAAACUAACGGCACUUUUAUGGACUAGAUUAUUGUUGUAAUAUGUUUUACUGUUUUAAAACACUAAUAUUUGUGUUUAGUGAAGUCUCCCGAGAAUAACAGUACCCCCCAUGUACGGGUUUUAUGGUGUUUUGGAAAGU
Molecule: non-coding RNA, 286 nt
Organism: Pelobates cultripes (western spadefoot toad)
Lineage: Eukaryota; Metazoa; Chordata; Amphibia; Anura; Pelobatidae
Source: the annotation of a GenBank genome assembly